Molecule: transfer RNA, 91 nt
Filed under: Mesitornis unicolor (brown roatelo)
Lineage: Eukaryota; Metazoa; Chordata; Aves; Mesitornithiformes; Mesitornithidae
Rfam family: tRNA
About the family: Transfer RNA (tRNA) molecules are approximately 80 nucleotides in length. Their secondary structure includes four short double-helical elements and three loops (D, anti-codon, and T loops).
Source: Rfam by way of RNAcentral
CCUUCGAUAGCUCAGCUGGUAGAGCGGAGGACUGUAGUGAUACAAGCCCGUAGAAAUCCUUAGGUCGCUGGUUCGAUUCCGGCUCGAAGGA